CGGGGCUUAAAGUCUUGUAAUUGGAAUGAUGGGAAUUUAAACCUCUUCCAGAGUAUCAAUUGGAGGGCAAGUCUGGUGCCAGCAGCCGCGGUAAUUCCAGCUCCAAUAGCGUAUAUUAAAAUUGUUGCAGUUAAAAAGCUCGUAGUUGAAUUUCUGCUGCAUCGCUGUGUCCCUUCGGGGUCUCUGCAUGUGGCUUAUUUCAGACUGAGUUUUCUUUGUCUGGAUGUUUACUUUGAGAAAAUUAGAGUGCUCAAAGCAGGCUUUUGCCUUGAAUAGUUUAGCAUGGAAUAAUAAAGUAGGACUUUGGUUCUAUUUUGUUGGUUUUAGGUACCAAAGUAAUGGUUAAUAGGAACAGUUGGGGGCAUUCGUAUUUAACUGUCAGAGGUGAAAUUCUUAGAUUUGUUAAAGACGAACUACUGCGAAAGCAUUUGCCAAGGAUGUUUUCAUUAAUCAAGAAC
Molecule: ribosomal RNA, 458 nt
Filed under: Theileria sp.
Lineage: Eukaryota; Apicomplexa; Aconoidasida; Piroplasmida; Theileriidae
Description: SSU rRNA
Rfam family: Eukaryotic small subunit ribosomal RNA
Source: RNAcentral